GACGUAGGUCGCGAGCGUUAUUCGGAAUUACUAGGCGUAAAGCGAGUGUAGGCGGGUGCUUAAGUCCGCUGUGAAAUCUCCCGGCUCAACUGGGAGGGGUCAGUGGAUACUGGGCGUCUUGAGUGGGGUAGGGGCAGUGGAAUUCCCAGUGUAGAGGUGAAAUUCGUAGAUAUUGGGAGGAACACCAGUGGCGAAGGCGGCUAUCUGGACGAACACUGACGCUGAGACACGAAAGCGUGGGGAGCAAACAGGAUUAGAAACCCCGGUAGU
RNAcentral lists this ribosomal RNA (270 nucleotides) under uncultured bacterium. RNAcentral describes it as "partial 16S ribosomal RNA". It matches the Rfam family "Bacterial small subunit ribosomal RNA", at positions 524 to 794 of the family's 1533-position model. The record is from RNAcentral.